UACAAUAUAAGAAAGUUUACUGAUCUGGAAAAUACAUUAUUGCCCCUUUGCUUCUACAAUCUGCCACGUGGACACGUUCCUUGCCUUCCUUUUUCGUUCUCUGCUUUUCUAAUUUUCUAAAACCUUUUUCUACCUUUCUAAAACAUAUCAACACACGUGAACUCAAUAAAUCCAACAACUACCUUUUUCCAAAUAUUUGAACUAUCUUUCUUGGAAAUAGAGAUAUGGCUUUUCUCCUCCUCAGACUCUAAAGUAUUUCAUUUCCUUUCACUCACUACCUUUCCAGAUCUCUCUCCAAACCCUUUUCCAUCUUCAACAUUCCUCGGUCUUCAACCUUCCUUUCCUCCUCCCUUUUCAUUAUUCAUUCGUCUUCGACCUUCGAAAUCUCUUUUCUAACUCCUUGCCGUCUUCAACCUCUGUCCGAUGGCAACAUAACUCUUCUCUCUCCGAUGGCUUUUUCGUUUCGUCUCUCUUCUCUUCCGAUUCACCUUUCAUUUUCUGUCUUCGCAUGCGAUGGUGAUUCUCUCUUUUCCGGCGAGAGUCCAGUUGUGUUGUUGUUGAUUCAGAUGCGGAUUUGAACGUUUGUUGAUGAUGAUGUUGUUGUUCGUUGAACAUGAUAAUGAACAGUUUUGAUGGAGGGCUGAGUGGUUCAUGAUUUUAACCUUUCUGGUGAGAUUGUUCAAACCCAUUCUCUUUUAAUCUCUCUUCUUCUAUCUCUUUACUUUCUGAAGGGUUUGAUGUAUUUGGAAAAUUAUGAAAGGAAAUAUUUGGGUUUUUGUUUGAUUUUUGUGUAUCUGGCUUUUCUGGUGAACAUGAAUAAUGCUCAUUUUCUUCUGUUACAACCGAUUUCUGAAGGUUUUUGGUUGUUUUGAGAAAGUGAUGAUUUAGGGUUCUGGUUGUUGGUUCUGCGGUUGUGUAUUUUGCAGAUGGUGAAACAAAGAGGAAUCCCUUCAUAACUGUGUAAAAUGAUUUUCUUUAGCGCAACUGGUGUCAUGGAAAUCAGAGAUAAUGAGGCGGAACUAUGUAACUUACUGCAACUGGUCAAGGGAAUUUUCCUAUAAAAGAGUAUCAUCAGAGCUGGAUGAGUCGCAGAAGAAUGCAACAGCUCAAAAAAUGUUUCUUGCCUCAUACGGGAUGGAGACGUUGUCUAAAUUCAUGGCGGCGGAAGGAAGGCAUCGUCGUGCUUGCCGACAGUGUUGGAUUCAACAGGAACUGGUGUAGCUGGCUGAACACAGUUGGGACUGAUGGAAAAUGGUUUGAUUAAUGAUUUGAAGAAAAACAGAGUGUUUGAUAUUGAAAGAAAUAAAGGGAGAGGGAGGUCAAAGGGAGCUGACUCUGAAUAGUCUCUGAAUUGGCUCGGUUUCAACGGGAACCAGUUUGUUAUUCGUUUCGGUUGAGCUUUAUGCAAGGCUGCAGUUCUGAUAUGGUUUAUUUUUUCCAGUAUGAAUAUGCAUGGUAAAUGGUUGAAUGGUAUUUUGGCUUAAGUGUGGUUUAGUGGUUCUGAAUUUGUAUUGUACUGAUGGGGUCACGGGUCUCAUUACCUUAUGAGGUUACAUUUCGAUCGGUAAAGUGUGAAUGAGUCUUUUCCUUGAAUGCCUAAUUGUGAAUUUUUGUGAAUUUCUGUAGCACUUAGCAAUUUGGUGCGUUUUGUUAUGUCAGCUUAAAGGCGAUAAUAUUGUUCUCAAGUGUGAUGGCUGAUAUUCAAUACAACUUCAUACUUAAUCAUGUCCUGUGGAGGGUGACGAUUACUAUUCCGAAACAGAUUGAUAAACAUACUGGAGUUGUGUAUGCAGUAGAGUUCUCCCACCAAAGUGGGCUCAAUUAAAUCAUGAAACUUAUUUGUUGUACAGUCAGACAUUGGCGUGAGGAUAUAUUAUCCGGUUUCGGGGUCGAAUUCGUAUAAUUAUUCCGCAGUUGUCUGGUUGUUCGAAUGGUGUUUCCGACCUGCUGAUGGAAAAGAUUGCGUGCUCCGUUGUAGAUUUGGCACUGGUGGCAAAUCUUGAAACAUUUAAUUAUUUCCAGUGGUUGGAAUUUCGAAAACUCUUGAUAAUGAAAUUUUCUGCAUUUUAUAGUUACUGUGAGUUUUUUCCAACAAGUCAGCUUUUGCCAAGUAUAUAUAAAUACAAAUUUGGUUCAGAAGCUUGCAGUAUUUGGGUGGACCCGUCAAAAAUCUUGAAAGUUUGUCGAAAGCACGGCGAAGUCUUAGUUAUAGUCUGAAAACAACUCUCGGUAGCAUGGUUUCUCACUUGGUUCUUUGACUAUUGGAUUAGCGCGACAUCAACGAUUGUUA
This is a long non-coding RNA of Vicia villosa (hairy vetch), 2290 nucleotides long. RefSeq lists it as uncharacterized. The transcript has 5 exons. NCBI's taxonomy places the organism in Eukaryota, Viridiplantae, Streptophyta, Magnoliopsida, Fabales, Fabaceae. The record is from RefSeq and is a predicted model, not a curated record.